Molecule: ribosomal RNA, 641 nt
Filed under: Candidatus Bipolaricaulota bacterium
Lineage: Bacteria; Candidatus Bipolaricaulota
Description: bacterial SSU rRNA
Rfam family: Bacterial small subunit ribosomal RNA
Source: RNAcentral
AACUAAGAGAGUUUGAUCCCAGCUCAGGAUGAACGCUAGCGGUGCGCUUAACACAUGCAAGUCGUGCGAUCGAGCUGGACUGACCACCCUUCGGGGUGCGAUGACCGGUGACGGAGCGGCGGACUGGUGAGUAACACGUGGCUAACCUACCCUCUUGACGGGGACAACCAUUCGAAAGGAUGGCUAAUACCCGAUGUUGUGUGAGGUCGAUGGACCUUGUACCAAAGGCGGUUCUGCCGUCGCAAGAGGAGGGGGCUGCGCCCUAUUAGCUUGUUGGUGGGGUAAUGGCCUACCAAGGCAGUGAUGGGUAGUUGGUCUGAGAGGACGACCAGCCACAUUGGGACUGAGAUACGGCCCAGACUCCUACGGGAGGCAGCAGUGGGGAAUCUUGGACAAUGGGCGCAAGCUUGAUCCAGCCAUGCCGCGUGAACGAUGAAGGCCUUAGGGUUGUAAAGUUCUUUCGCUGGGCCCGAUGCCGCAGACAAAAGGCACACAGGUGGGCCGUCGGGAAUUCUGGCGGGUCUUCUCGGUUCUCUCCGACACCAUGGCGCUGGAAGGGGUCAUCUGGCAGGCGUUGAUGUUCGGCGCCGCGAUGGUUUUCGAGGUGAAGCUGGCGCCCGAAAUCUCCGCCCUGCGCGACG